RNAcentral lists this unclassified non-coding RNA (334 nucleotides) under soil metagenome. RNAcentral's name for it is "partial contains 5.8S ribosomal RNA, internal transcribed spacer 2, and large subunit ribosomal RNA". The stretch from base 1 to 120 matches the Rfam family "5.8S ribosomal RNA", at positions 35 to 154 of the family's 154-position model. The record is from RNAcentral.
GAUGAAGAACGUAGCGAAAUGCGAUAAGUAAUGUGAAAUGCAGAAUUCAGUGAAUCAUCGAAUCUUUGAACGCACAUUGCGCCCGCCAGUAUUCUGGCGGGCAUGCCUGUUCGAGUGUCAUUUCAACCAUCAAGCCCCAGGCUUGUGUUGGAGCCCUGCGGCUGCCGCAGCCUCCCAAAACCAGUGGCGGGCUCGCUAUCACACCGAGUGCAGUAGUUUACUCUUCGCUCAGGGCGUGUGGCGGGUGCUAGCCGUAAAACCCCCAACUUCUCAAGGUUGACCUCGGAUCAGGUAGGAAUACCCGCUGAACUUAAGCAUAUCAAUAAGCGGAGGA